Molecule: transfer RNA, 58 nt
Filed under: Dipodomys ordii (Ord's kangaroo rat)
Lineage: Eukaryota; Metazoa; Chordata; Mammalia; Rodentia; Heteromyidae
Rfam family: tRNA
About the family: Transfer RNA (tRNA) molecules are approximately 80 nucleotides in length. Their secondary structure includes four short double-helical elements and three loops (D, anti-codon, and T loops). Further hydrogen bonds mediate the characteristic L-shaped molecular structure. tRNAs have two regions of fundamental functional importance: the anti-codon, which is responsible for specific mRNA codon recognition, and the 3' end, to which the tRNAs corresponding amino acid is attached (by aminoacyl-tRNA synthetases). tRNAs cope with the degeneracy of the genetic code in two manners: having more than one tRNA (with a specific anti-codon) for a particular amino acid; and 'wobble' base-pairing, i.e. permitting non-standard base-pairing at the 3rd anti-codon position.
Source: Rfam by way of RNAcentral
UGGCUCAAUGGUAGAGCACUUGCCUUGCAUGCAUGAGGCUCUGGGUUCGAUUCCUCAG